Molecule: long non-coding RNA, 2322 nt
Filed under: Rattus norvegicus (Norway rat)
Lineage: Eukaryota; Metazoa; Chordata; Mammalia; Rodentia; Muridae
Description: long non-coding RNA NONRATT002556
Source: RNAcentral
GUACACUCUGGCCUCAUCAGGCGUCAAGCACACAUGUGGUACACAGACAUAAUUCAGAGUCCAUUUGUUAGUGUGCAAGAAAAUACUCUGAGAAACUAGCUCAGUAUAUGUGUGCUGAAGUUCGCAUCACACAUAGGUGACCCCGUGAGUCCCAUGGUUUGUGCCGUCAUUACUGCUGAGGGUGAGGCAGACAGGGUGACAUCAUUACUGCUGAGGGUGAGGCAGACAGGGUGACAUCAUUACUGCUUCCUUACAGUAGACUCUGCAGUGCUGUGAAUGCAGGUGGUCUUCACACACUCAGAGGCAAGGGGGCAGCUCAUGGAAGGACAGAGUCGGUGGGUACUGACAAGCUUUACAGCUUGUCCCCAAGUUGAGGUGUCCGUAAAGUGAGUUACCAGCUUUCCUGUGGUGUUGAGAGCUGUAGCACGGGGCCAGGCGUGUGGAAACUUUCUCACUUGUUUUAUGGUUUUCCACCACUAAUUUUGAUGACACUAUUUAGAGAAAAUUGACUAUAAUUUUGCCACUCUCUGGUUACAGGUAGCUUUUGGGGGGAAGGUGGGAGCAGAGUCUUCCUAUAUAGUCCUGGCUGACCUAGAACUCUUUAUGAAGACCAGGCUGGCCUCAACUCAUAGAAAUCAACUUGCCUCAGCCUCCCAAGUGCUGGGAUUAAAGGCCUGGCCAAUGUAGGCUUAAUUUAUUAGUGAAAGUUAAUUCAUUUCUGAUAUAUGGAUUUUAAUAAAAAAGUGAAUUUAUAGAUACUAAUUCAAUUCCUCUAAAUUUACUCUAUAUGGACUUAAAUGAAUUUUCUCAUAUUUUCACAAUUAAAACAUUUAAAUUUAAUGCCAGAUGUAAAAAAUUUCAUGUUUCCAGUUUUAUCACCCAUUGCUGUUGUAGCCACUAGAUCUGGUUUUCAUUUUGCUGUUAGUCUAAACAGUAAUAGCCUUCACUUAAUUUUCUGUGGCUUUAAUUUUACACAAUUGGUUAAAAAAUAGUAAUCACCCAAAACAUCCUCCCAAUUCAGCAGCGCGGUUCUUCCAAACAUGCUUCUGAGUUCCUUCAAACCACAUGAUUGUGUCACAAGGGUAAACCUCCCCACCCAUGGGGAAAAACUAAUAACCCAAAGGUUCAAAGCCUCCAUCUGUCAUCUGUUCCUAUGAGCUCUCAGGCCUGGACAAGGGAAGUGGCCUGUACCCUGCACAUUCUGCUAGCAUUUGCAGCAAGGCUCUGCCAAGAAGCAAGAUUCAGAAUAACGGAAACAUGUGUGUGGUUGUCAUCACUGACUCUUACCCAGUCAAGGUCACUGCUCAGAGGAUACCGACCACUGCUCGCUAAGCUUUGGCAUGGGAGACUCUGUUUUUUAUCUCUUGUUCUGACCACCUACGCUUCUAAGAGCAAAUGGAGAACACUGCUUUAAAAACACUUAUUUCGGGGCUGGGGAUUUAGCUCAGUGGUAGAGCGCUUACCUAGGAAGCGCAAGGCCCUGGGUUCGGUCCCCAGCUCCGAAAAAAAGAACCAAAAAAAAAAAAAAAAAAAACACUUAUUGCAUUCAGUAAACAAAAGAUAGAGAGGUGGCACUUGUAAUCGUUAUAAUUAACAUUUUGUCCCUGGCUGUGAUCAUAGGACUCUGGCAGGUGCCCUCACCGGCCUGCCAGCCAUGAGCCCAUUCACUUUAUCUGUGGCCCAUCCACAGGCAGCGAUACCAGCUGAAGCUUCUGCCCUGAACCUGUCUGAGUUACCAUUGGUGGCUUUGUAGUUACUGUUUUCUCCCUCACAGAGCAACCGUGAGCAUCAUGUUUACAUCACAUCUGUGCAGCAUAGUGGCCUGGACACAGAUGAGCAGGCUUCUUCGUUUCUCAGUUUCAUAAGCACUUAUUUAAUCCGUUUUUUUUAAAUUGUGCAGCAAGGUGCUCAAAGUAAUAGUAUAUAAAUAUAUUUAAUAGAAACUUGAGUUUGACAUUCAUGGGCAUAAAUAAAUGUAUUUUUUUUUUUAAAGAAAUAAGUAUUGUGUAACACUAUGGCUUUGCUUCUGUAGCCCAAGUAGAGAAACUUCUGGAACACCAUGUAAAAAAGCAAGAGUUGAUUCUGACGCUGAUUCUUUAAAACUGGAUGAUUGGUAUUUGGUGAUAUCCUGUUGCACAUCAAGCUGCAAGCCUUGUCUGUGGUAGAGCAGGCCACCUGUUUAGAAGAGAGCAGCUCUCUCUCUGGCACCUCUUAAUUUCCAGAACUGUCCAAAAGUAGAGUAAUUUAUUUUGCUUUACAGGAGUUUGUCAUGUAUUGACUUAUAUAUUGUAUUUUGGUAAUAAAUUUCUUUUGUUAAAAACA